GCGUGCCUAAUACAUGCAAGUUCGAGCGGNCUUGAAGCAGAAGCUUGCUUCUCGGUAUGGUUAGCGGCGGACGGGUGAGUAACACGUAGGCAACCUGCCUGUAAGAUCGGGAUAACUACCGGAAACGGUAGCUAAGACCGGAUAACCGGUUUCUCCGCAUGGAGAGACUGUGAAACACGGAGCAAUCUGUGGCUUACGGAUGGGCCUGCGGCGCAUUAGCUAGUUGGUGAGGUAACGGCUCACCAAGGCGACGAUGCGUAGCCGACCUGAGAGGGUGAACGGCCACACUGGGACUGAGACACGGCCCAGACUCCUACGGGAGGCAGCAGUAGGGAAUCUUCCGCAAUGGACGAAAGUCUGACGGAGCAACGCCGCGUGAGUGAUGAAGGUUUUCGGAUCGUAAAGCUCUGUUGCCAGGGAAGAACGCCAAGGAGAGUAACUGCUCUUUGGGUGACGGUACCUGAGAAGAAAGCCCCGGCUAACUACGUGCCAGCAGCCGCGGUAAUACGUAUGGGGCAAGCGUUGUCCGGAAUUAUUGGGCGUAAAGCGCGCGCAGGCGGUUUUUUAAGUCUGGUGUUUAAUCCCGAGGCUCAACCUCUCUUUCGCACCGGAAUACUGGGAGACUGGAGUGCAGGAGAGGAAAGUGGAAUUUCCACGUGUAACGGUGAAAUGCGUANAGAUGUGGAGGAACACCAGUGGCGANG
RNAcentral lists this ribosomal RNA (704 nucleotides) under Paenibacillus sp. Its description in RNAcentral is "bacterial SSU rRNA". It matches the Rfam family "Bacterial small subunit ribosomal RNA", at positions 42 to 720 of the family's 1533-position model. Lineage: Bacteria; Bacillati; Bacillota; Bacilli; Caryophanales; Paenibacillaceae. The record is from RNAcentral.